AUUGCCUUAGUACGGCGAGUGAGCGGCAAAAGCUCAAAUUUGAAAUCUGGCACCUUCGGCGUCCGAGUUGUAAUUUGAAGAAGGUAACUUUGGAGUUGGCUCUUGUCUAUGUUCCUUGGAACAGGACGUCACAGAGGGUGAGAAUCCCGUGCGAUGAGAUGCCCAAUUCUAUGUAAAGUGCUUUCGAAGAGUCGAGUUGUUUGGGAAUGCAGCUCUAAGUGGGUGGUAAAUUCCAUCUAAAGCUAAAUAUUGGCGAGAGACCGAUAGCGAACAAGUACAGUGAUGGAAAGAUGAAAAGAACUUUGAAAAGAGAGUGAAAAAGUACGUGAAAUUGUUGAAAGGGAAGGGCUUGAGAUCAGACUUGGUAUUUUGCGAUCCUUUCCUUCUUGGUUGGGUUCCUCGCAGCUUACUGGGCCAGCACCGGUUUGGAUGGUAGGAUAAUGACUAAGGAAUGUGGCUCUACUUCGGUGGAGUGUUAUAGCCUUGGUUGAUACUGCCUGUCUAGACCGAGGACUGCGUCUUUUGACUAGGAUGUUGGCAUAAUGAUCUUAAGCCACCCGUCUUGAAACACGGACCAGACA
RNAcentral lists this ribosomal RNA (581 nucleotides) under uncultured Debaryomyces. RNAcentral's name for it is "eukaryotic LSU rRNA". It matches the Rfam family "Eukaryotic large subunit ribosomal RNA", at positions 74 to 672 of the family's 3401-position model. The record is from RNAcentral. Lineage: Eukaryota; Fungi; Ascomycota; Saccharomycetes; Saccharomycetales; Saccharomycetaceae.